AACCACACUGUCCCAGCAUGCAGGCACAUGUUUCACAUGUAUAUAGUUGCCCUGUGAGCAUCACCAGCAUUACCCUUUUUAUUUCCUCCUUUUGUGUUAAUUAACUUGGUCAAACUUUUAUUUCAGAAAAUAUGCUGGUUCCAGUAAAAUACAAACAAUUACAGAAGUAUGUGAAGUUGGAGGAGGUUGACUACAUGCAAUUUCAUGAAAAAGUCAUGCUGCAGUCUGGAGGAGCAUCUCCGCAGCCAGCAGAGUCUGCAUCCAUACCUCCUCCCUGUUGGACGUCGGAAGAGCAAGAUUGACAGCUUCUACAUCACCAUGGAUAAGCAUCUCAUCCCAUGCCGGGCAAACCGCUCCCUCUGGGCAUUUGAUGAACUUUUCAAAGCACAUUUUGUGUUUAACA
Labrus mixtus (cuckoo wrasse) is the source of this 403-nucleotide long non-coding RNA. RefSeq lists it as uncharacterized. The record is from RefSeq and is a predicted model, not a curated record. NCBI's taxonomy places the organism in Eukaryota, Metazoa, Chordata, Actinopteri, Labriformes, Labridae. The transcript has 2 exons.